Cloeon dipterum is the source of this 173-nucleotide long non-coding RNA. RefSeq lists it as uncharacterized. The record is from RefSeq and is a predicted model, not a curated record. NCBI's taxonomy places the organism in Eukaryota, Metazoa, Arthropoda, Insecta, Ephemeroptera, Baetidae. The transcript is spliced from 2 exons.
AGUUUCGAGUCUGCCGAGCCGUCGAAGAAUCAAAAUCAAGUUGGCGCCUAAUUCGUUUUAUUGACCGGCGGUUCCUUUUGUCUGCGCGAUAGUGAUCAUCUCGUUUUUGUCAGCAGUCUGCUCUCUGUGAUGAGGAAUAAAGUGAGAGCCCGCCGCUCUUUCAUAUUAUGUAA